GGUCAUGAUGCAUGGGACUAACAGGUAUUAUAAACGUGGCAUAGCUCUGAAAAGGCAUUGCGUUUCUGGGCUAACAACAAUCAUAUUCUUGUCUAUAUCAGGGUCAACACAUCAAUAUAUUCCUUCCAGCAAACUACAGUUCUUAAAUGUAAUUCAUUUCCAACUUAAUGAACUAUUGAAACAUAACUAAUUUUGUCAUGCUAAUAAAUGAACCCUCCCAUGAAGGUUUAGAUAGCAAUCUUUGAUGCACAGUUCAUGACCACCACAAAAUUGCGAGCUCCUAUUUAGAAUGUUUCAAAUACUGAUGGAGGGUGUCUAAAGUAAAUAUUUCAAACCGGUAUUUCAAAAGUUAACCACCAGACAGAAUUUGAGUAUUGAUUAAAGAAAGUAACAUACACAUGGAUCACAUGGUGUAUUAUGCAGUAUUUAAUGGCAAAAGAAUUGAUUACAUGCCAGACAAUUUGCUUUUAUCUAUACUAACAUUAUAUGGAAUCACCUAUCAGCAAUGAACAAGAAAGUGGAUCCUAUCAUGUUCUUGCUGAGAAUAUACAUAAUUGUGUUGGUUGGCAUCUCCCAAGAGGCAGACAGACCCCAAGAUGAGAUUAUAAGUACAAAAAGUUUAUUGAGGAAUGUGCUUGGAAAGCAUAAAUACAUGGAAUCAGAAGUAGACAAGGGAGAACGGUCAGAUUAAAAACUCUAACCAGAUGCUUUUGAAAAGGGAGUGGGAAAAAAGAAGGAUAAGAUAGAUCUAAAAUUGUCACACUAUUCUUGUAAAUUUUGGUUGAGCUUGUGGGAAUUCUUUGAGUCCAAACACUCUGUAAGGGUAGUCUCAUGUCCCAUUGAGAUGGGCUAGCACUAGUAGCCCUGUCAUGGUCAAUCAUUGGCUGGGAGCAGCCUGGGGAAAUUAUGAACUUGGAAAUCUAUGGUGGUAGAUCCAGAGACCAUAGGGAUGCUCACUGGGCUGUCAACUAUACUCCCCAUAGCAGGUCUGUCAUACGGGGGAUUCUCAUGGCCACCGCAAUAACCAUACCCCCAAAACGUUUGUAAAAGGCUGAUGUGUGUGUGUGUGUGUCUGUGUGUGUGUGUUUUGCCUUAUCAAAUAUAUAUGGUGACUUAAAUUGAAUGUUGAACACCAAGCAUUAUUGUUAGUUCAUUUUUGUAAAAGUAAGUCAUGUAUUUUACCACCAUUCCACUUGUAAUUUAAACAUCAUGGGUUAAGGAAUGGAUGAUCAGAAUGCAUUCUCAUUAUUGUCUAACUUACACGUAUUGUCUCCUGAAUGCUUCACCAGGAGAGUGGUUCUUCCACUGUUGUCUUUGCUCUCUGCCACUACUGAUCAUCCCUUUUCACCCAGCACUCUAGGGUAGCAACUGGCUUAUCUCUGCUUUUCUGCUGAGCAUGAGGGGAGUAGUACAAUAAAGGUUGCGUUUUCUUAAGCCUGAUUAAGACUAAACAUAUAGAUGCAUAUACCAUGAAUAUGUCUUUGCUUAAAGAGUGAUUUUAGUAUGGAAUUAAAAGUUUAAGAAUGAUAAACAUUAAAGAUCUAAAAAAACUUGCUAUUUUCCUUAAAGGUUAGGAUGGUAAGCACUUAGAUUUUCCUAAUUAGGCCACCUUAUAUUUCUUUCACUUCUCAUUGAGCUCUUUCAUUUCUGAGUUUUGUCUAUGAUGCAGUUGUAUAUUUAUCUUAAUUUUGUUUCAUAGCAAGUAUUGUCAAAAAGCACUCUCUCUACAGUCAAGGGUACUUCUAUCAACUUAACUUGCACUUCAUGCUAAUAUGAUGGCAGUGCACUUCACACAGGUAUGCAUGACCAAGUUUCUGCAAGUGAAAAUGAAUGUAUUAACUCAUUAGUUGGAAAGUUUGUACUUGAGCUCUAUAAAUAGGUAAGAGGAACUUCAUUUGGUUGGAUGUCACAAAGAAUUAAAUUGCUCUAGUGGCAUCAAGAUAUUUAAUAAAGUAUCAAAAUAUGAAAACUUAAAACAUGUGGAAAAGGAAGCUCUGUAUAAGAAAUUGUGACACUAUUAAUAUAAGCUUGCAGUGGGCCAUUUGAGCACUCCUGCUGGGAAAUAUUACGGGGUAAUCCAACAUGAUGCAUGUUGAGGCUUUCUAACAUUCUGUGAUUGUUUUCAAGUUAUUUCCAUACUAAUGUUACAUAUGAUGUGAAUAUGCAAGAUUAGAAAUAAAAUUAUUCUUCAGAAAAGUAUUUUGAAUGUAUAAACACUGCAGAACAUUUUUCAUUAGUAUUCAAAUGAAAUUGAUGUUUAGUUUACGCAAAAACUGAAAUCUGAGAUAUAAUUACAUUCUUAUCCCAAUCUCAUUCACAUGUAAUCAUUAGAAAUACAUACUGAAACAAAAAGCAUUUGAAGAGCUUUUGAUGUUAAAAAUCUAGUCAAUUAAAAUAUUAUUUGUCAUAUUAUUUUAUUGAAAAACACACAAAAUCAUUUUAAUUACAAAGCUAAUAGUAUCUCAAUAUACUAAAUUUAACUUCACCACUCAAAUGUUUGAUCUGUCUCAGCAGAUUUUGCAUUCACUAUGUAUAACAAAGAAUAAAUCCAGUUCCUAGGAGGAAGCAACUUACUUCUUCUAAAGAUCGGUUUAUGUCCAAGCACUCCAAGCACUUAUAUUUUCUUUUCACUUUAAGCAUCUUCUAGAAAAUCCCAAGAACACUUUUAUGUAAAUAAAAUCUGUAGCAAAAGUAUUUCUAACCUAAACCAGUGAAUAGUAGUUGCUUUUUGCACCAAUAAAAUUGAUAGUUACCAUGCAAGCUACAUUUUUUGUUCUGUACUCUCUUGGUAGGUAUUUCUUGAAACAAGAUAACAAUUGCUUCACUGAUUGCUUCUCACUGGGAAAGACUCUUAAAUGAAAAAUACACUAGGUAGUUUCUGUGUCAGAAAUCAACACUGUCACUGGGAGGAAAGUAUGCAAAAUGUAUUACUUUGGCAUUUUUGUAAAGUUAUAUUGUCCUACAGGGGAACAAGGAUGCUUGUUUGCACUAGGAUCCAAAAUACACUAGGCUUUGCUUCCUUUUAUAACAAAGUUUUGCCUUCACUCUAUUUUUUUAAAUAUUAAGACAAAAAAACUGAAUCCCAUGUUAACAAUUUUGUUUACAUGUAAUGAUAAUGGAGAAGGCAUAUAUAAAGUUAUUGUUAGCCUUAUAACUAAUGCCUAAAUUAAUGAACAUGAAAAAUAGUGCUAUAUAAUUUUGUUUUCCUACGUUAAGUGAGUUACAGUCAAUGGUAGUAUCAAAAUAGACUAAGCCAGGCUGCCGUUAAAUGUGGUUAAAAUGUGUGUGUGUCUGUGUCUCUGUGUGUGUGUGUGUGUGUGUGUGUGUGUGUGUGUGUGCGCGCCACAGAGCCUUGGUGGCUUAAAGGCAAAUGAUUAUUUCUUCCCAACCUACAGAUGAUAAAGAAAGGUUAGGAUUCUGUUUUGUGUCACACACUCCAGGACUAAAGCCAACAGGGCAGAUACUGUAAUGAAUUCAUGCCUGUUGUAAAGACCCAGAGAAAGAAAAGUGGAUGGGUUGUCCACUGUUUCUUUAAAUUUCUAGGCCUGACAAAUGUCACUUCUUCUCACAUUUUAUGGCCUUUCAAUGGAGCAGGGCAGUGAAAUAAUAUUAGGUUCCUAGAAGGAGAGCCAGCAAUAUUAGGGGGCAGUCCCAGUGAUGACCACAGCCUGACUAUCUGUCUUCCAAACAUUCAACUCUUCUCCUUACUACCUGCAGACUCACUCACUCCUCUAGGGGACAACACAAAAUUUUCCUUCAGUCACUUCAUUAUAGCUCAAAUUCCAGGAACUCUGAUUGAUAUCUGUUUCAUUUUUUCCACAUCUAGAUGUGGCUACUCGAUCUAGAGACCUAUAUAUUAGAAUGACUAGUUUUCCCAAAACUGAAACUUGCAAUGAUAAAAUGGGCACAGAGCCCUCAAUAUACUCUUUAUUUGGAAAGAAUACUAGGUCGAUUAGAUCAGUCACUGAUAGGCAGCAAUUCUGAACUUUCCCACCCAGGCAUGGCAAGCAUCCUUUCCCUGGAGACAGAAAAUGCUCCUGGGUUAGGCAUUGAUUCUGCUCCCUAGGAGGGAACAUCACUCAAUUUUUCCCCAUAACUGUUGGCAUCACUUUCUGGAAGUUUCUUUUUCAUCAAUUAUUGGAAAGGAAUAUGCACUUCUGUGAGGGACUAGGCAUUUUUUUUCAGCCUAUUUCCUACCUUUAGUCACCUGGAGACCAAAGAGACAUUUUAAGUCUUAAAUAGUCACAGUGUAUUUAGAUCCAGGGAAGCGGAUACAUUGGCAGUGCUAAUGUCUCAAAAACCUUAAUGGCCUCUGUGUCUUUCCUUUCCCACCAGCACGCCAACCUUGAAUGGGUGUAUGUGGUGGGCAGAAUUCUAAAAUAUUUUUUCAGAUAAUGAUUUGAUUUGAAUACAUGUGAAUUUAAUUGAAUACAUAUGUGUUUAUAUUGGACAAUAUCAAAUAGGCAGUCAGGAGUUAACUUCAUCAAGUACCAGAAACAAAUGAAAUGUCUUACGAUUACUUAGGUUUUACCAAAUUUUCACAAAUCAGGAAAGUGAAAUUGUGGUUGUUGCUCUUGUUUUUUUUAAUAUUGUCAUAAUAUUUGGUUCAGGUUAUAUAAGGAGAUAAGUCUAGUAUAGGAUUUUCUGAAAUUAGCUGCUUGAUUUUAACUGAGAGAUUUGCAGUUUUGGAUUUCAGUAUUUUGUCUUUCACCCUAUUGCUGCAAUCACAGUUUGAACAGGUAAUAAAAAUGGGAAAGAUGGAAAGUUUUUUAUUUUGUGUUUUAUACAAGAAAAUAAAAAUGUAAAUUAUUUAAUUUUAAAUUAAGCUGGAGGCUGAAGGAUUACAAUAUCAGUUGCAUACACUACAUGACAAAAAAUGGUGAAAUAUUGAUCACACAAAAUGUCUUUAUUUAAAUAAGUUAUUAUCAUUAUAUUUAAUUACACUAUUUUGCCCCAGAUUUUAUCAGGUUGUGAGUUUAAUUUGGCAGGUAAUCUUCUUUGACUCAUUAUAGCCUUGUCGCUAUUUCUUUCCAAUGAGUAAACAGAAACCAUAAACUUCUUUAAAAGAUUGAGAAUGCAAUUUAGAAAGAGAUGUUUUAAAAAGUAUUGAGAAGAUGUGGAAAAAUAAAACUGAAUUAUAACAAUGUUACAAUGAUUAGAUAAAAUGAGUGGAGAAGUAUUUGACUCUCUUCAAAAUUAAGCAAAGAAUUGUGUAGAAUUAGGAUUAUUUCUGUGUUAUUUGAUUAUGGAAUUUGUUUGUGAAACCAUAUGGCAUUGGCAUUUUUUGGAAGUUCUUAAACUAAGAAUUACAUUUCUCUAAUAGAUAUGGGACAAUUCCAGUUAUUCAUUUUAUCAGUUGAUUUUGAUAGCUUGUGUUACUCAAAGAGUAAGUGUUUAAUUUAUUGGCAUGCAGCUUCUCAUAUUUCCUCACUGUUAAAAGGCCAAUAUAAUAUUUCCUUCAAAGGCUAAGAUAAAUUUGUAAAUUAAUGGAUUAUAAAUAAAUGUAUAAAACCAUAAAUUACAUACAAGCAGUAGUUAUUUCAUAUAUCACAUAUCUGAUAAAUUGGAAACUAAUAAUUAUUUCUUCAAAGCCAGGGUUCUCAGAUUUGACACAAUUGCCAUUUGGAGCUGGACAAUUUUCUGUUGAAGGCAGUUGUCUUGUGUACAUUUUUUCCUGCUUUGCAGCAUCUCUGGCCAGUAUCCAUACAUGGAAGUGGCACCCUCUCUUCCCCAGGUGAAAAAAACAAAAAAGCUCCAAGCAUUGCAAAUGUACUCUGAGGGGCACUAUCACUCCUGGUGAAGAGCUACUGCUUUAACACAAAGGAUGAGAUGUCUCAUCUCCCUCCUAAGGUCAUGUGUACAUGUAUAAUUAGAUAAGAGGUGUAUUAUUCUUCCCUUUAAUCCAUCUUCUUCGAUAAACAAAAAUGUUCAGUAUAAAGGCAAACCGAUAAUUCAAAUACGCUAUUUACAAAGAGAUUUGCAUUCUAAAUUGAUGUGGCUUUGAACAGACAAAUAUUAUAAAAGAAAUUGUGUUUGUAUAUUAUGCUAAGGAUGAGACACUUUUUUACAAAUAAUAAGAGUUAAAUAUUUGAACAAUUAGCACUGUUCUCUUUGUUCUUAGAAUGAACUUUCAAAAUGCCUACAUAUAUAACACAUUACUACAUAAUUUUCAAGAAGGAAUAGGAAUCUUUAAUGAAAGAUAAACUAUUAUAGAGCAAUAUAAUCAGAAACAAAAUAUAGGAUAUUAAAAAUCAUACAGAGAAGCAAACUAAAUUUAUGCAAGUAAAUUGAAGAAUAUAGGUUUUAAAAAAGGGUUUUGUUUAGGUACAAAUUAACACAGACACAUUAGAGUGAUGAAUAUGGAAUUGUGAUUUAUGUAAACAAAACAUCACAUAAAAUAUAUGACUCCAAUUAUUGGUAUUUCAUUUUAUACCUAUUUUAAGAGAUUUAGGAAUGUGUGGUUUUGGACUAUCUCAUUGUUUUAUGCUCCAAUUUAAUUUAGAUACAUGAUUUACAUUGUAAUUUUAAAUGUUUAUGUUAUGUGUAAUACAAAGAAGAAAGUAAUAUUAGUCAAUAAUUGUGUAUUUAUUUAUGUACUUCAAAAGCAAAGAACAAUGAACCUAAAAUGAACAUGAUACAUUAUCCUUUGGAUAACAUUUACAUUUUCUUUCUCAAACAAAUUAUAAUGACAAGCUCUUGGAUAUAUUUAUAAUGUAGAUUGUUAAAAUUUGGAAAAAUACAAGAUUUAAAUGCUUUUACAGCUAAAAUAAUAAUAUGUUAAACUGUUCUCGGGGAUUUUCCAAGAUGAAAUGAUAGGAUCUGGAUUUAUUCUAAUAUCUGAAGCAACUAAAAUUAAAGGACAAAAUAUAUGAAACAAUAACGUUCAGAUACGGAACAUCAGGCCACACAGGACAAUGAUCCUUAAGAGAGAGGAAGACGUGAGGAAAGUCCUACGAUUGCCCCAAUAUCAUAACUGAGGGUCCCAUGUAUCUUUAGCUGAGGACUGAUAAGAAUACAUGUGAGACAGACAACCUGUUGCCAGGCAAAUAAUCACCCCAAAGGAGCACAGAACUCACAGGAAUAUAUCGUGUCCAUGGGACUUUGGAUAGAGGACCCCAGUGGGUAUUGUCUCCCUGUUAGUAUUUAGCCCUUGACUAAAGGCUGCUUUGGUCGAAUCUAAAAAACCUAGAAGCAAGCACUGAUUUCCUCUAACCGUACACUCCAGAGCCUGAUCCUCCAUACCUGAUCACAGACUUAACACUAGGACUUAGAGUUAAAGUGACCUUAUCCCGCCUAGAGUCUUCUGAGAUAAAUUGUUUUUCUACCUGUAUUACUUGCUAUUUGCUCUUAAACCUAGGCAGCAUUUCAAUUUUUUUUCUUCUUUUUUUGAAAUGGGUCUUGCUCUGUCACCAAGGCUGGAGUGCAGUGGCAAGACCAUGACUCACUGUAGCCUAUAUACCCUCAGGUUCAAACAAUCCUCCUGCUUCAGUCUACCGAAUAGCUGGAACUACAAGCACGCACCACCAUGUCUGGCUAAUUUUUUUUUUUUUUUUUUUUUUUUAAUUUAAAGAAAUGGAUCUUUCUGUGCUGCCCAGGCUGGUCUCCAACUGCUGGCUUCAAGUGAUCUUCCCACCUCGGCCUCCCACAGUGCUGGGAUUACAGGCAUGAGUCAACACCCCCAGCCUCAAUUACUUUUUUCAAUCUGCCUGACUCUGUUGGUUUACAGGGUUUAAAGUCCUGACAAUUCUCUUUACUUCUGCAUCAUCCUUUGCUUCUGAAAGAGACAUCAGUAUAAGUGUCUCUAUCUGUUAUUUUGUUCCUGGUUAUAAGCAGUGGAAGGCUUUAUUGUGUUAAGCAUCAAAAACGGAGCUGAACGUGCGAUGAAACAAACUGAAUACAAAACUAAAACGUACCAUCGCAAAGUAGCAGCCUAAGAAUUGCUCACUUUCAGUACCUGUGGCGAAUAAAAACCUAAUCUCCUCCAAAAUAGUUAUCGAUGAUGACACUGCAUGAAUACCAAUGAAAGAGCGCUGAAUCGAUUUAACCAUCUGCUUUAUCACAUUAAGGAAGACGUCAGAGCAAAUAAUGAUGAGCAAAGAUCAACAACAGCAAAAGCAAUGUUAGUUGUCACUACCACCACACAGACACCAACAUGACAUAGCCGAGUCACAGAUGAGUACAGUUUGAAGCAAUAUCACGCAUAACUAAAAGAGGUCUUCUAUUGUGUCUUCAUUUGCUUGCCUCUAAUAAAGUUUAUGUUCCUGAAGAAUUGAGGUUGGAAUUUAGUACUACUUUUAGAAAAUUCUUAAAGGCUGAUUUUAGGUGAGGACGCCAAGACUGAAAUUUCUAAUAUGAGAAACAGUGUAAUCCCAAGGUUGCAUACUUCAGUCCUGAGCAGGAGAUAAGAACAUUAAUUUUACUAAUUAAUCAUUAGGGGAAAGGAGAGCGCACUUAGGACCUCCAGCAAGAAUGAUGUUGAAUCAUGUAUUUAGGACAUUUUAAUGUGAUUAUGCUAUGACAAACUUUCUUUGUUGAGCUGACAAGGACCACCUAAAUUCCUGAGUUGCAAUAGAUUAGAGCUUUGCAAUGUACAUGCUGUUGAGACUGUGACCUGUAGAGAAUUGUAGCAAUCCUAUGAAAGCAGCAUGACUCCUUCACUAUUGGGAUUGAAAGCCCCAGUGACAGGUCACUUCCUCCAUCAUACCAAAGUGUAUGAACAUAUUCUAAUACACUAAGAAAUCUUUAUUAGCCAAUGUUCUUUGCUUUUCUCUUACUUUUUUUAAUUAUUGAAAUUUAAUAGCAACAUAUUUUAUGGAUUUAAGUACAAACUGUGAUAAGUUAUAGAAAAUAUGAAUAUAUUCAUAAUGAUAGCAUGCUCACAGUUUUCCUCUGUAUACUUCCCCUAUUAUAGCAGCUUAGUGGUGCUGGUUUGUUUUCCGUAGUGUAAAAUAGAUGAAUUCAAUGUGACCUUUCCUACACCAUGUGUUCAGCAAAUAUGAUACGCUCUGGGGAAUUAAUGACUCAUCACCACCAUUACCCUAGCAAACCCAUCAAUAUUGUAAUUUGUACAAACCAUAAACUGGGCGUUGGAAGGAUACUGAAAUUAAAUUGACAUUGAAUGAAAGUUAAAAUCGCAGCCCCCUUCACAUAUGCAGAUGUGGCUUCCUUCAUUUUAAUAAGGCAUUACAAAGGAGUUUCCUGAUUGAUAGAUAGUUGAUAUUUAUGGACCAUCUAAAAUGGGUAAAGUUGCAGAAAAAUUAUUCAAAAUGAUUUUUCUAACUUUUUAUAACUUACAUUCAUUGAUGCACAUGUGAAACUUUAUGUGUUGAUGAAAACUCAAUUGACAGUCUGUCAACUCACUUCAUGUUGUUUGUUUUUAAACUUUUUUGGGAAUAAGGGCUGCCUGUUAACUUUCUAAUCCCAUUAAUCCUAGUAGUUUGGAGGCAGCAGAUAUUGAUGAUAUAUUCACAUAUAAAUGUUUAUUACAUUUAAAAGAUUAUUUUUAGUUAUUAUUAUUUGAUUUUGUAUUUCUAUUUAAUUUGCUUCAAAAUACAAUAGAAGGAUUACCUUUCUUAGUAAAAACAGACAAUAAUCACUUUGGUCUAAUGUAACACUGGCUGUGAUAGAGUAGCUUGUAACAUGUUCAUGUUCCUUCAAUAACCAUGAUGGAAGCUACAUAAAAUAGUCAAGUAAACACAAAUGUCAUGGAAGGCAUCUAAGCCUUGAAAGAUCAAGAUUUUGGAGAGACAGAAAGAAGGGCUUACUGAAGAGGGUCUAGCAUUCUGCACGUCUUUUCUUCCUCUGGGUAUUGUCUAGUAGUUGGGUAUAGGAGAGAAUCUAAGAAGCCAGUUAGAGCCAGAUAGCCAAGAGGCAGAGAAACCAGCAAAGCUUUCAGAGAUAUCAUAAGAUACAAUGGCAAACAAUGCUGCUUGAAAGGCCAAGAACAUGGAGAAGAGAGAGGUCCAGAAAUUUUAACUUGAUAUAAGGCAUUUGUAUUAGUCCAUUUCCAUAAUGCAUAAGGAACUGCCCAAGGCUGGGUAAUUUAUAAAGGAAAGAGGUUUAAUUGGCUCAAAGUUCAGCAUGGCUGGGGAGGCCUCAGGAAACUUAACAAUCAUGGCGGAAGGUGAAAGGGAAGCAAGCCACCUUCCUCACAGGGCAGCAGGAAGGAGAAGUGCUGAGCAAAGGUGGAAGAGCCCCUUAUAAAACCAUCAGAUCUCCUGAGAACUCACUCACUGUCAUGAGAACAGCAUGGGGGAGACCACUCCCAUGAUUCAAUUACCUCCACCUGGUCUCUCCCUUGACAUGUGGGGAUUAUGGGAAUUACAACUCAAGAUGAUAUUUGGGUGGAGACACAAAGCCUAACCAUAUCAAUAUUGUUGAGGCAUUUCAGAUUAAGUUGUAUAGGAAAAGAGGCAGUCAGGCAGAAAAGCAGCUGAAAAUCAAAGGAAAAUUGUUCAUUUUAAAGUGUUGGAAAAAUUAAAAUUUGAAUCAAGAAGCUUCUAAGGAAGAUGGACCCUGCUUAUUAUCACAGAUUCACUGUUUAUUCUCCAAAAGGUCUACAUUGGUGUCAAGGUGAAUCAAAGGUGGAUCUAGCCAAAAACUACAUAUUAGACUGGAAUAAUUUCAGUCCCUAAAAGAUUGAGAAGAUUUGUCCCUACUCCAACUGCACAUCAGACAAAUCUACCCUGAAGGAAGAUAACUACAUCCAGAGGCUUUAUGAAUUUUUCAUAUAUAAGCCCUGGCAUUCAAUAGAAUAUUCAAUUAAAAAAAACAAAGUUGUACAAAACAUCAGUAGAAACAAACCCAGAGUUAAUCUAUUUAUUUAUAUUAUUACAAAUGGACUUAAAGAAGUUGUACUUAGUAAAUUGGAUAAAAUGUAUGACAAAAUAGAGAACUUCACCACAAAAUUCAAACCCAUAUAAAAAAAGCAUUAAUUAGAAAUUAUACAAUGAAUAAAUAUAAUGACUGAAAUUGAGAAGUUAGGUAGAUAAUAAUGGAUUUGACACAGCUGAAGAAAAAAAACAAUAAAAGAGAAAGUAAGUCAGAAAAAAAUAAUCUCAAGCAUGGGCAACAAACAGGGUGGAAAAUAUGAAAAAGCAGGUAAGGGCUAUGUAGGUCAGGAUGGAAAAGUUUUUCAUGAAUUUAAUUGGAUUUCUAGGAAGGGAGGAGAGAAUAGGCAAUCCAUCACCAUCUUUGGCGUGGAUCCCUCUGUCAUAAGGAAUGCUCACUGAUUUUCUAGCAGUCUUGCUCACACUGACAUUUUGGGGUUCCUGUGUUUGUUUGUUUGUUUGUUUGUUUGUUAGGUCUUUUAUUGGCUUCCAGUAGUCUUCUUUCUGUGUCCUUGCAUUUUGGUUUGCAUCUGCCUAAUACUGUGGGUCUUUUUUCUUGAGUUUUCUAUUAAAUUAGUGUCUUAUUUCUCAGGUUGUUUGUGUGUGUGUGUGUGUGUGUGUGUGUGUGUGUUAAGACAAGCAUUUGUUAUUUUGUCUGAAUUUUAAGCAAAUUAAUUUUGGGCUUAGUCAACUUUCUAGAUUCAACUCAAGUCUUUUCAAGUUCUUGCUUAUUUUUUGCAUGCACUUCAGUUAUUUUAAGAGUUAAAAAAAUAUAUAUAUAUAGUCUCAAAUGAUUAAUUCACAUGUCACAGUGUGAGGUGCAUUGAAAUCCCCUUUGACCAGAAAUUUAGAAUAUGGACCAAAACACUUAUUGAAUAUAUAUAAUGAAGAUAUUUGUUGGGCUCUAAUAAUUAUGAUAAUGUGAUGUACAUUUUGUCAAAACUUAUAGUGUUAGUUGUUUAACUCAUUAAAACCAGACUGUCUUAGAUGAAUAUAAUUAUAAAUCUUGCUAAAAUAUGUUUAAAAUUAUUUUAUCUGGAUACCAGGUUCACAAAAUGUGUCUUAUAAUUUUUUAGUUAUUUUAAUUUCAGUUUUAUUUGGAAUGUUCUAAUGUAUGUAUCUAAUCUCCUCUCUUGUUUUUUCAAUAACACUUGUUUGAUAUAUAAAUUUAGCAAGAAGCAGUUAGCUUGAAAUUAUUAUAUUUCUAAUGUCUCAUAACUUAAAAUAUAUAAUUAUUCAAACAUUUAAGCUGGCCUUAAAUAAAUAAAUUUGAAAAUCUUAUAGGUAAACUUAUACUGUUACUAAAGCAUAAAAAUUUACAUAAUAAAAUUUUAGAAUAUAGUACUUUAAUGGAAGACUAGGCAAGUCACUAUGGAAUGUUAAUAAUUUAGAUGUCAUCACACGAAUAGCAAACUAUUUUUGUAAAGUUUAAUCUUUUUUAAUGUUAAUAAAUCAGUGGAACAAUUGUCAUUACCAUAUAAAUUACUGUUGCUGUUAGCUUUAAAAAUAUGAAUUGGCAAAACUUAUGCAACUGAAGAGAAAAUUGUAAAUUUUCCUGAAAUUUAAAAUUGCAGUUAAUUUACAAAAACUUUAUUCUUUUUAUCCAAAUCAUCAGCUAUAAAAUUAUAAGUAUGCUUGAUGUUCAUAAAUAAACAUUUUAAUGUAUAUUUGCAGAGAUACAUUUUAACAAUACAAGUAAUACUUUCUUUAAGAUAUAUGUUAUAUCCAUUGACAUCUCUCCAUCACUGGAGUCUCCUCUCAAAAACACAUUCAUAGGGAAAGGAAACAGAGAAAAAUGAAAUUCUUCAAGGUAAUUUAAAACAUAACGAUAAAAAACAGAGAUGUAUUUUCAUUACCCUCAGAUUUCUACAGGCAAAUCAUUCUUAACUGGCAAAAUAUUAUUUGAUUUCAAUUCUGCCACAGUUAACAGCAAUAACAAAAAAUUAAAGAUAAAUUCAUCGCCAGAACUACCACUAGUUCUUCCGGUUCCCUACAGUACUUUCUUCAAGUUGGAUUUUAAACUACAACUAGCUAAUAUUACCCAGACCCUGAAACCAGUUAUCUUAUAUUGCCUUACUCAUAGCUUUCCUGUGUUUUGCAUUUGAUUUUAGUGUGCUCUAUAGAAUUAUCACUUAUGCACAUGUAAAUAAAAAUAUUUGCCAUUCUAAAACAGAAUAAUGCCAUGUGAAGUAAUAAAUACUUACAAAAAUAAUUUAUUUCAUUACCUGAAUGUUAAAUACUGUAAACUUCUCAAGAGUGUAUCUGAUUUAGAACAUUCUAAAUGAAACUGAAGUGAAAAAGAACUGCACAAUUAUAAGACAUACUUUGUGGACUUGAUAUCCAGAUAAAAUAAUUUAAAACAUAUUUAAGCAAGAUGUGUAAUUAUAUUCAUCUAAGUCAGUCUGGUUUUGAUGAGUUGAAUAACUAAUACUCUUAUAUGUGACAGGAAAUGGAAAUAAAAGAUAAGUUCCAAGUAGGGGAAAAUGUCGUGCUAGAAUCAGUACACAGAAAACAUCUUAUUUUGAAUGUAAAGGUUAACACAAUUUGAUUAAUAGAAAAUGUUGUUUCAUUUAACCACAAUCAUUAAUGUUGAACAAAUAUUCUGUGGCUUUGUUUUUGAAGAACAUGGUUUUAUUAGCUCGCCUAUUACCCCGUAAUUCUGCUGCCUCUUUCUAAUCCAAGACACUCUCAUUUCACAUCAUUCACAACUCUCAUUUCCCAAUUAUUAAUAGCCUCCAAACAUAUCUCCAUGCUUUCUCUUUUGUUUCUUUCUCACACUGCCAUGAUCUAUCUUAUAAGCUUUACUGUCUUUCUGUUUUGAAUUAAAAGCAAAAAUAGCAUCUGGUCUCCCCCCCUACCUUUCUGGCCAUGUUCACUUCAUUGAAUGCCACUCCCUAGUGAGUUCAUUAUAUUCUUAUCCUGCCCUUUAUCAGCUUCUUUAAAAUGUCCAACUUUUUCCCAAGUCAGAGUAAUUUUAUGUCAAUUUACAUUAGCCUAGAAUGUUUGUUUCUUAUACCUACAUCUUUCUCGUCCCUUACCACCCUUCAAGAACACAUAUGAUUUUAAAAAACUUUUAUUUUAUUUUAUUUAUUUAUUUAUUUAUUUAUUUAUUUAUUUAUUUAUUUAUUUUCGAGACAGAGUUUUGCUCUGUUUCCCAGGCUGGAGUGCAGUGCUGCAAUUUUGGCUCACUGAAAUCUCUGCCUCCUUGGUUCAAGCGAUUCUCCUGCCUCAGCCUCCUGAGCAGCUCUGACUACAGGUGGGCACCACCAUGCCCGGCUAAUUUUUGUAUUUUUAGUAGAGAUGGGGUUUCACCAUGUUGGUCAGGCUGGUCUCAAACUCUUGACCUCAGGUGAUCCACCCACCUAGGCCUACUGAAGUGCUGGGAUUACAGGGGUGGGCCACCACGCUUAAGUACACAUAUUUUUAAUGUCUACUUCCUGCAUACCCUGGAGAUUUUAGUUAAAAUGUUUCCUUUAUAAGAAGCAUCUGCAGAACUCUCUUGUUCAAAGGUAUGCAUCUUUCUCCUGCUCUGAUUUGCAGAGCCAUGUUCAACUUUUUAAAUUGCUCUUGUAAUAAUGAUAAACAGAGAUAUGUUUGUGAAAAAACUCUUAUUUUCUCACUGGAUUCUGAAUCUGGUGAGGGAACAACAUUAUUCAAGGCUAAAAUAGUGUGAGUACUUAAUCACAAUAAGAUUAAAUGUCCAUUUUAAAUUUAAUUGCUAUUUUAACGUUUGACAUUACAAGGGAAAACACUUCAAUAAAAUGUUGAUUGGAAAAAUAUAUCAAAGAAAGCUGUAUAUUUUUCUUGACAUUCUGUGAAAUUGUUCAUAAUCAUCAGUAUAUGCAACCUAAAAUUAUAAAUUAGGCUGAGAUUUAUAUUAGAACUUUAAAAUGGAGAAAAAUGUGUGCUUUUUGAAAUCCUGAGAUCUUUCUCUCCUGGAUAUUGUCAUUAUUUUCAUACACACAUAAAAAAAGUGGCUUCAUUUUGAAAAAUAUGUGAAAAAUAUUGUUUCUUCCUUGAAACUUUUAAAUUGAUAUUUUCACAUUUUUUGGCAGUGAGCAUGUUUUUAAACAUUCAGAAAGACUGAACUCUAUUCAGUUGUAACUCCACAGAGUGCUAAACUAAAUGUAAUUGUUCAUAAAGAGAAAAACAAAAAUUAAGAUUUAGAAAAGGUCAGGUUACCUGUAAGUCAGCAAGCUCAUUGAUAUUCAGAAGCCACCAUUGUCCCUGGAUCUUGCAUGCUCCCAGCACCCUACUUUGCUAGGCAUCAUUUACAUGCAGGCCACAGCAGAUCUCUAAAGUGUAUUUCAUAGAUAAAGAGUUAAGAGUACUAAAUUUGUAUGAAAUGUUGUGAAGCUUAAUUUUUCUAUUUAUUUCUGAGGAUUCCAUUAUCUCAGUGUUGAGUAUGUUUGUGAAUUACUGUUUUUUUUUUCCACUUACAAUUUUCCAAAUCUAAAGAUAUAAUAUCCACAAUCAAGCUAACACCAUAAAUAAAGCAUUGCACAGUGGCUCACACCUAUAAUCCCAGGACUUUGGGAGGCCUAGGCAGGUGGAUAACUUGCAGCCAGGAGUUUGAGAACAGCCUGGGCAACACGGUGAAAAGCCAUCUCUACUAAAAAUAUAAAGAUUAGCCAGGAGUGGUGAUCUGUGCCUGCAGUCCCAGCUAAUGGGGAGGCUGAGGUGGGAGGACUGCUUGAGUCCAGGAGGCAGAGGUUGCAGUGAGCUGAGCUCCACUCCAGCCUGGGCGACAAAAUGAGACUGUGUUUCAAAAAAUAUAUAAAAAAGUAAAAACAAAGAAAGGCAUUGGCAAGUAGCUUAUAAGAAAAUUAACUUGUUUAAAGCACCAUUUCUGAGUGUGAGUAAAGAUUGUGUGCUCUGUGUGGCCCUGCCCUGCCCUCUGUCCGUCAUACCCUACAAUUAUUAUUGUGCCUUCUGAAACAAGAUUGCCUUCUCUUGAAAGAAGUUAACUCUGAUCAUAAAGAAAGUUUUGAAAUGGCAAUGAUAAAAUUAAAUCUUAGAAUUAAAGAAUACAGCAAUAAUCUAAUCUCCAAUCUCCACCCCUAUAACUCAGAGUAUUCCUUACUACCUCCUGCUUCUUGAUCUUUCUUCCUGUUCCUUUAACACUAAAAAGACUAGCAUUUUAUAUUUCUCCUCCAGUAUUGUCCAUCUCACUGUAUCUCUGUGCAUUCCUAUCCUUACAGCUUUGGUACUUAAUCCCAAUUUCCUUUAUCCUUUCUACCACUUAUGCAUCAAGCUCUUCAGCAUCAGCAAAUACCUUAUAUUCCUACUCACCUGCAAACUCCCACUCAAUUUAAGUUUAAUUCUGUGCCAAGUUUUUAUAAACCUCCAAGUAAAUCUGAAGAAAACAUUUGCAACUAAGCUGACUUACCUCAAAUUAAACUCAUCACCAUAGUUCCAAGGAGACCAUUCUUGAUACUCAUGAAUCAUACCCUAAUUCCAGCUGUAUUCCCACCCAUUCUUCUGUCUCCUCAAAUAUUCAAGCCCUCCUCCUCCAUCUCCACUCACAGCUGAUGAGUUUGCUUCCUAUUUUACUGAGUGUUCAGGACUCCGCCCCCGCUCGCUUUUCUCCUCCCUCUCAGGCCACUACUUUUCAUUCUAAUUUGCCAGUUCCCUUUGUUACCCUGACCAUCAUUAAGGAGUCUCAGGUAUCAGCCAUUAAUAUAGUAUCAUAUUGAUCUACUUGCUUGUUGAUCUCUUCUAGAGUUGUGUCUCUAAGUACCAUACAUAUGCUGAUGAUUACAAUAUUUAUGUCUCCAGACUAAACUUUUUCCUUGGAAUCUAAACAUUAUAUAUACAACCAGCUACUUGACCUCUCUAGGUGGAUAUCCAAAAGCCAUUUCAAAUAUAACAUUUGCAUUAGUAAGCUCUUAAUCACAUCUCCCAAACUUCUUCCCCAUCUCAAUUAAUGACAACUGCUUACUUCCAGUUAUUUAGGCCAAGAGGUUCAAGUCAUCCCUAUUUACUCUCAGUUUCUUCAAUACCUAAUUCAUUCAGUCAGUAAGUCUGUUUCCAUUACCUUGAAUAAAUAUCUAGAAUCAAUUUUGCUUAAUGCUAUGAACCAAUGUAUACACUGCAGAAAAUUCCUAUCCAUGUGCACCAGUAGACAGACCUGGUACAUGUAAUUAGAAUGAUGAUCAUUAUCAGAAGAAUCAUCAGAUCUGCAUGGAAACUGUAGAUACUGUGACUGGAGUAUAUAUGUACUACUGUAUAUUAAAUAUCCAUACAAGAAAAUCUGUAACUUUUUAUUUCAGAAAACCUAACUUUUCUGAAUAUAAAAGAAUGCUAUAUUUGUUAAUUUAUUCAAAAUAUAUAUAUUAAACUCACAUAGUGUAAAGCAAAAUUCUUGAUGUUUGAGAUUAUUGGUAAACAAAAUAAAAAUACCUGCUUUAGUGAGACAUUCUUAUGAGAAUAUAAAGAAAAUUUUAAAAAUCAACAUAAUAAAUAUAUUAAUUAUGUGAAAUAUUAGAGGGUUAUGAAAGCAAUAAAAAUGGGGAAAAGAUGAGAAUGAUAAGUGGCAAAGGAAUAUUUCAAAUUUAAAUAAAGUGAUCUGUAGAUAAUAUGGUGGGAUACUUUGUAGCAGGGAACAAAUGCCCCCAUUCACAAAUCAAAUUUGCUGAAUCUUAUAUAUUUAAUAUUGAUUUGAAAAAGCAGGAUGCAGAAUCAUAGAAUUUACAAUUUGUAUACAGCAAAAAUCAUAUUCCCCAUGGAUAAAAUAUAUGCUAAAAAACUACUUGAGAAUUUUUUAAAAUGUGGUUGGUAAAAUAAUUAGGAUUUCCCAUUGAAAAUUCAUUAUAUACUUUCUUAAUCUGUGUGAUAAAUUAAUGGAUGCUAAUUUUGUUGUCUUUUUAAAUAAAUUUUAAAAAUAUGCCUUUUGUUGCAUACAUCAAAUAUUUUGCUUUUAAAAGUUACAAUAUUUUUCAUAAUAAUGUGCAUAGUUUUAUAUUAGCCCUUUGCAAACUAUAUUGUUAUACACAUUCAUAAGUAUGAAAACAGAAAAAAAAAUCUAGAAAUAUAUAACUUUAAAUUGUCAAAUGUCUUUUCACCUUCUGACCAAAUUGUAGGUUACCUGGAGCUGACAAAUGUUUCUGUCAAGAUAUAUAUUUUUUAAUAAUAAAAUUAAUAGGUUUUAUAUGUAGAAAGAAACAAUAUUUAUUUGGAAAAAGUUACAUAACUUCAUAAGUAAAAGCAAAAUUCUCAAUGCUUCAGCAGGCCCUGAGCUCAUUCCUCUUCUUCUGAAGGAGAAAGCCAGGUGCUUCUGCUUUGGAUUGGAAUGAUUGGGCUGCUCCAGGUGGUGUCUGUGAGAAUGUUUCUGGAGAAGAUUAGCUAGCGGGCAGGUGGACUGAGUGGGGAAGAUCUGCCCUUAGUGUGGGCAGACACUAUCCAAUCAGCUGGAGGCCUGAGUGAGGCCAAAAGGCAGAGGAGGAGAGAAUUCUUGCUUUCUGUCUUCCAAAGCUGGGAUGCCCUUCUUCUCUAGCCUUCGGAUGUCAGAAAUCCAGGUUCUGGGGUCUUUGGAUUUAUGGACUCCAGGACUCACACCAGUUCUCCCGUUUCAUGCCCAAACUUUCAAGUUCUAGCCCUGAGAGUUGCACCAUCAGUUUCCUUGGUUCUGAGGCCUUCAGACUUGGACUGAGCUGUGCUACUGGCUCCCCUGCUUCUCCAGCUUGCACAUGGCCUAUCUUGGGACUUCUCAGCCUCCAUCACCAAGGGAGCCAAUAUCCCUAAUUUAUGCUAUGUUGUUAUGAUUAUGUUAUUGGAUUAUGUAUUUACUAUAUACCUUUUAUCAUUAUUUUAGGGUACAUUCCUUCUACGUAAGCAGGACCUUCAGGAGAGAUUCCCAGAAGGCAUUGUUAUCACAGGUGAUGACAGCUCUAAGCCUGUUAUUGCUCCAAAAGACCAUCCAGUGGGACAAGAUGUGGAGGUGGAAGAGAGUGAUGUUGAUUAUCUAACUCUGUGUAGGCCUAGACUAAUGUGCUAAUUUGUGUGUUUGUGUCCUAGUUUUUGACAAAAACAAAAACAAAAAAGUUUAAAAAAUAAAAAAUUCAAUAAAUUUAAAAUAAAACAAAGAAUAUAAAUUAAAAAGUUUUGUAUAGCUGUACAAUGUGUUUGUGUUUUAAGCUAAAAGGAAUCAAAUUAAACAAAAUUAAAAGGUUUACAAAGUAAAAAAGUUAUAGUAAGCUAAGGUUAAUUUAUUAAGGAAGAAAACUUUUUAAAAUAAAUUUAGUGUAGCCUCACUUUAUAGCGCUUCUACAGUCUACAGUAGUGUACAGUAAUGUCCUAGGCCUUACGUCCACUCGCCACCCGCUCCCUGUCUCACCCAGAGCUACUUCCAGUCCUGUAAGCUCCAUUCAUGGUAAGUAUAGUAUACAGGUCUACCCUUUUUAAUCUUUUAUGUAACCAUAUUUUUAUGUACAUUUUUAAUGUUCAAGUAUGUUUAGUUACACAAAUACCAUUAUUUACCAUUGCCUACAGAAUUCAGUAUAGUAACAUGCUAUACAGGUUUGUGUCCUGGAAGCAAUAGGCUCUACCAUAUAACAUAAGUGUGCAGUAAGCUACACCAUCUAGGUUUGUGUAAGUACACUCUUCAAUGUUCACACAACAAAAUCAUCUAAAGACACAGUUCUCAGAAUGUAUCCCCUUCAUUCAGUGAUGCCUGACUGUACAUAUAUGCAUUUCAGAAGUACUCAGUAUGAACCCUGUGUAAACUGAGGUAAGGUGAUAAUUUUUUCAUUCAGAACGUUCUCAAAAAUGUUUAAUAUUUCAUAGAAAUAUGUUAGUAACAGAAACACCACAGGUGUUAAAGCAACAUGCUUGAUUCUGUACGCAUCUGUAACUGAUAAGUACACUAAAUUUAGGUGCAGGUGAAAUGAUUCUAUGUCUUUAAGGUCAUAUUUGAAUAUUUUCAUAUUUAAAUUUAUAUAUAUAUAUUAUAUAUAUAUGGAAAGAGAGAGAGAGAGAAUCACUUUGUCACACAGGCUGGAGUACAGUGGUGCUAUCUCGGCUUAAUGCAGCCUCAACCUCCUGGACUCAAUCCUCCUGCAUCAGGCCCCCAAGUGGCUGGGACUAGAGGUGUGUGCCACCACACCCAGCUAAUUUUUUUGUAUUUUUUAUAGAGAUAAGGUUUUGCCAUGUUGCCCAGGCGUGUCUCGAACUCUUGAGCUACAGUGAUCCACCUGCCUUGGCCUCCCAAAGUGCUAAGAUUACAGGCAUAAGCCACCAUGCCCGGCCUGAAAUUUAUAUUUUUUAUAAAUAUCGUUUAUUUAUCCUUUUUAUGAUUACUUUUAGAUCACUUUAUUGAUUGACUUUAUUUUUUUACAUGUUUUGGUGAAUUAUUUCAUUAAUGGAUUUUGUUUCAAGAUACAAAAUGGUGUUGUAAAGUUUUUGUUUCAAGAGUUUAAUAUCACCAAGAGAAGUAUUUCUCUUUUCCUUUGUUACUCAUGGAUUAAAGUUUAGUUGUUAACCCACAUCAUCAGGGCUCGUCAACCAACCAGAUCAUGAGGGAUCUCCUUAGAAAUGCAUCAUCUCAGGACCCUUCCACAGGCCUGCCCAAGCAAAACCUACAUUUUAACAUCUGAAACACAUUCACAACAUUAUUCGAGGGACACUAUUCUAAUCCAUCUAUUUCCCCCCUUUCUCUCUGCUAAUAGUUUAGUCCUUUAUAGUUCAUUAAAGUAUCUGCAGGAGGUUUAAGUGUUUUCUGUUUAUACUCCCCUUCUACUAAAAAGAAAAGAAAAAAAAAUCAAAUCUCUCCUAUGCCUUAGCUUCUCUGUAAUCUGAGGAAAACAUUCACAGCCUUCACCAUAGAUAAGCCUUCCUUUUAAAAAGACGUCUGUGUGAUCUAGUAGCAGACAACUUCAGCGAACCCCUCCUGGACAAAUCUGAAUGACUGUUAAUUUGACACUGGGACUUUUCUGUUUAUCUAUGUGCCAUGAUCUUUCCUGUUUCCCAGUGUGCAAGCACUAUGCAUGUCAACAAUUGUUUUCCAUUUAUGAUACAGUUCCUUUUAUUUUGCUAGUUGUUAUGUUUUCUUCAAAUUUGCACUAAACUAGAUAUCUAAAGAAAAACUUUCUUUAAUCAUUAUUGCUGACAUUUUAUUUAAUUAGUUGAUGUGUUUAAAAAUUAUUUUCUUUUUACAGAGAGACUAAAUAUACCAAUGGAUGGUAGUCAGGCCAUGUAAGCCAAGGAGACUUUGACUCAGUCUCUGUAGCCAUCAUUCAGGAAGCCAAACGGCCUCCGCAGCGAUCGGCCCAGAAGAAUCAGAGCUUGGUUAGUGACUUAGAGCUUUCCUAAUAUUUCCCCCUGCUUCCUACUUAGGAACAACCAGAGAAAGUCAAAUAUGUUCUCAGAAGAGUAAAUGAGGAUGCCCCACUUCUUAGUAGCCAACCCCAGCUUCCCCAUACCUUCCAGUCCUCUUCGACACAGCUGCCACGACUGCCAUCUCCCUUUUUUUUGCUAUGAAACCUUCCUAUCCCUCUACGCGCCUUUGAGUUUUUCCCAAACUCAAAGGCAGAGGAUAGUGGCUGACUCCUUUGCUAGAGCAAAAUCUAAAUAAAUCAGCUUUGUUUGACUUUUCUGUUGGUUUCUCAUUUGGGUCAUCUUUGUUUAUUUCCACAUUAGUAAAUUAAUGAUUUGAAACAAAAAAUGUCUUUAUCUUGGAUGAAAUUCAUACAAUCUGGUAGAAAUAACAAUUAAACAAAUACGAGGAGAUUAGCAUAUUAUCUGUGCUUUUCUCUCAAAACUAAGAGUUCCCACUCCAGAUUUAGAGUAUCUAUUUUUAAGUACGAAAUACAUUUUUGGUUUAGGUGCCCAGAAGCAUAGACACAUUGACAUAAUAUUAUGUUCAGAAAAUGUUUAAAUUAAGAAAAGUAUCGUUUCACUCUUCCAGUAUAUUUUUUUUGGUCUAUCUUUUAAAAUACUUUGCCUUGGUUUAUAUAGCUAGAUUGUGGAACAACAAUUAACAAAAGUAUUUCUAACCUGGGGGCAGUCAUUUCUACGAAAUUAAUUUCAAAAUAGUAUGCUAUUGCAUUGCAUUUUUAUGCAAGCCACUUUUAUAGAAAGCUGUAUCCCAGUGCAUUUGACAGAGUUAAAUAAUACAAUUAUGGAAUAAAGUAAUAGAAGUUGAAGAAAAAGAUAUGGUUUCAGAUGAGAUUUGAAAUGGCAGCUCCAAUAAUGCAGAAAGAUAGAGAAAGCCUGUUCCAGAUGUCAAUCACUGCUGCUGAGAGGACUGGCAGCAAUGAUUUUGCGUGAAGUAAUACAGAAAGGAUAAAUGAGUUCUAUGUAUUUUGGAUGCAUCAAUUUUUAUUAUGCAAUUUCAAGCAAUGAAAUUAAGGUUGAGAAAAAACUUGUUAGAUCUGAAAGCAUAGUUUGAUUUGGAUUUAGACUCUGGUGAUAUUCAUAGGGAACCUACUAAGCACUAGACAGCAUACCAGAGUUUGCAACAGGUUAUUGUGAGUUGCUAGAAAACUCCUACUCUAUGAUUAUAUAAAAAAAAUUAACUAUGGGUGAAUGAAAACCCAAGAUGCCAGAGUGCACAGCAGUAAUUAUAGCUAUAUUUACAAAAAGAUCAAUUAUGUUUUCAGGUUUAAAAUUAAUAUUUUCUGAUUAUAAUUAUACAUAUAUACACAUAUAUAUGUGUUUAACAUUUACGUGAAAAUCAAUAUUUUCUGAUUUUAAGUAUAAGAUAUAUAUAUAUAUAUACAUCAUAUAUGUAUUAAACAUUUACCUGAUACAGAAAAGUAUAACUCAUACUAAUAACUCAUGCUAAUAACCCAUACUUUUCUGAUACAGAAAAGUAUAACUCAUACUAAUAACUCAUGCUAAUAACCCAUAAUCCCACUACUCAUAGAUAACUACUCCUAAUAUUUUUAUUGACUUUCAGAUUUUGUCUAUGCAUUUCCAUACCUAAUUUAUAUAUGCAUACAUAUCAAUAAAUGCACAUGCACAAAUUUAUAAAUGGAAAUAUACUAUUCAUAGCAUUUAAUAUUUUAAAAUUAUAAUUGCAUCUCUUUGAGAUAAAAUACAGCAAAGAAUCUCUCAUUUAAAAUGACAGACAUGAAUUGAAGUGAUUUGUUUGAAAUAACUCUGCAAUUCACUGGAGUAAACAUUAUUAUUAAGGUUUGAUUAACAAAACAAAAGGGCUAAUCUAUUUCUGUUGUCCCAUUCCCACAUGCUGAGUCCCACCUGCCUGGUUCCACCUGGGUUCUUCUGUCCUGAUUAGCCUGUUUUAAUCAAUGGAUAUUGGCUACUGCCCUGCAGUCUGGCUUUGCACAAUGGUGAUCGUGAAUGCCCUUUAUUAAAGCAAACUUGAACCACGUACGCUUAUUCAGGGGGAGCCAAGAUUGUCCAGCGGCCUCAAUAUUCAGUGCCUUUCAAAAGUUAGUCUUCUUUUUUCUGUCUUUUGGGGUUAAAGUGAAUACAGCAGCUCUUCUGGCUGUGCAGAAGCCGUGGUAACCUAUGGAAGCCCUACCUUUUCUAAGAAAGUAACCUGUGACUUCAAUACUUCAAUUUUAUACCUGAAUAUUUGUUUUUCUUUAUUUCAAGCUUUCCUUAUAGCAGAUGCCUAGUUUGGCAUGGCUUCCUUGAGAAGCAUUCCAAAUCCCUCUACAUUAUUAUCAGAAUAUACUUCUUAGUGUCUCAACUUCAGGAGAAAGAUGACUCUCCUGUUUUUUUUUGUUUUUUGUUUUUUGUUUUUUUUGAGACGGAGUCUCGCUCUGUCGCCCAGGCUGGAGUGUAGUGGCGCGAUCUCGGCUCACUGCAAGCUCCGCCUCCCGGGUUCACGCCAUUCUCCUGCCUCAGCCUCCCGAGUAGCUGGGACUACAGGCGCCCGCCACCACGCCCGGCUAAUUUUUUGUAUUUUUAGUAGAGGCGGGGUUUCACUGUGUUAGCCAGGAUGGUCUCGAUCUCCUGACCUCAUGAUCCGCCCGCCUCUGCCUCCCAAAGUGCUGGGAUUACAGGCGUGAGCCACCGCGCCCGGCCGACUCUCCUGUUUUAACCAAUAUUAAUACUUCUCCCUCAUCUCAGCUUAAAUCAAAUCCCACAACUUCCAUGAAGACUCCUGACUGUCUCAAGACUUUAUCUACCUCCUCUGAACCAGUGGGAAAGGUUUUUCAGCUCUUAUACAAAGACACUAUACUGAUUAACUGACAAUCAACCUUUAUUCAAACUGUCUCUCUAAUUAACUCAUAACACUUAGAAGGUGGAUUCUAUAUUUGUUUACCCAAGCAUCCUGUGGAAUUUCUCAUAUACAAAUGUACUAAUUAGGAUUUUCUUUGCUGGUGACUGAAACCCCACUAGGAUAAGAUUAAGUAAUUAUUUGUUCAUAAUGGAAGACAGAGUUGCAGUUAGCCUCAUUUUGAGAAUGAGAUAACUGUCAUUUCAUCUCUUUCUGUGGACAUUGGCUCUAUAUUCUUUUGUUGCAGAUAGACUCAUGUAUUUUGGUGUGUAUGAGAAGGUGAGCAAAUAUUGCCAUAAAUAAUAUUCAUGUGGACCUUAUAAUAUUCUUACAAGAAAGUUUUUUUUUUCAUGGAACUCAACCUAGAAAUUUCCAAAAAAGAAUUCAACUUUCACAUGCCCAUUCCUGGAUUUAUUUCUAGGGUGAUGGUGAGAAGGGGUAUUAUUAUUAGCUUUCCUAUAUUAUUUGUCUAUUUGAGUAGUCAUAAAGUAUAAGCAUAUGAUUCACAUCUUCCAACAAAAUCAUGUAUUUGUUUAGAGUCAAAAUGGUUGCCAAAAGGCAGUGCUAAAUGAUUUCCUGAUCAUAUUAAAAUGUCUUAUUCAAGUUGACUAUAAAUCUAUUAUUAGUAAAUGUUAAUAGAUUACUGUAGCAUUCAAUGAUGAUAACAUAUAUGAUAACAAAGACUUCCAAGAUGAGAAAAAAAGCCUUACCCAAUGGUGGUAAUUUCUUCCAUCAUUAUGCUGCAGUAGAAAAGAUUUCUGUAUGAGUGUUGGUUUAGAGAAAGUCUUCAUAUCCUAAAAAUACUUCCUUCUUCAGGAAAGAAAAUGAAAGACUGAAACAAGACAUUAAAGGGCAAUGAGAAGCACGAUUUUAAAAAGUAUUAUGUAAAAAAAAAGUCAAUUAUGAUGUGGGAUUUUUGCUCCUUAGCUCAGUGAGGUCCAGGUACUUGUCUCAUGACCAGGAAGAAUUAGGCACGUGGCCAUCGAAAGCUCUCAGCAAAAAGAGGGGGUGGGAAGGGUGGAUCUCCUACCUGAAGACAGGACAGUUUCCCAAUAUGGGUGAGCCCAGGGUUUUUUAUGGGCUCAGAAUAGGGAACGUGUGCUGAUUGGCUUGUGAGUAUGCAAAAAAGUUCCAAGCAAAGUCAGCACUCAGAAGUGAGCACAACAGUGUAGAAAACCAAUUAGGAAAUGGUAGCUAUAUGUAAAAUAGGUGAAGGGUGGGGCUCAAUCAGGCUCAAUCAGAGGAAAGUGCGCCAAAUGAGAAGGUGGGUUCUCUAUCUGGUCCAAGAGUUUGCAUGGGACAGUUUCUGGCUUAAUGGUUGGGUCUCACCAGGGACCUGCCGCUAUCUGCCAAGGCAUUUGUCUGCUUCCUACCUCUAUCAGUUGUUAAGUGCAGGUUAGCUAGGGAAUAUUUUAAAUGCAGAAAAUAAUUAUCAUUAUCUACUGAUUAUUUUGGAAAAAAAAAUGUUCUCUAUGAGAUUUAACUGCAUCACACCCGAACAAUUUACUGCAUGAUCGCUGUCAUCCACAAUAAAUAAACAGUACAAAAACACUUUAUAAAAUUAACAUUUUGAUGAAAUAUACAAAUUAUUAAAUUAUUUUAAAUUUAAGAUUUACAUAUGUUAUUUGAUAGCAAUAUAUCCUGUGAGAAGUGUAAGAUAGCUGUUAACAUUCUCCUUUUCAUUUUUCAAGUUUUUUUGUGUGUGUAUGUGUUUGCGUGAGAGAGACAGUGUCUCACUCUGUGGCCCAGGCUGGAGUGCAGUGCUGUGGUCUCAGCUCACUGCAGCCUCUGCCCCACAGGCUCAACUGAGUCUACUCCUCCCACCUCAGCCUCCAGAGUAGCUGGGACCACAGGUGUGCACCACCACAUCUAGCUAAUUUCUUGCAUUUUUGGUAGAGAUGGGGUUUUGCCAUGUUGCCAUGGCUGGCCUCGAACUCAUGGCCUCAAGUGCUGUGUCUGUCUCGGCCUCCCAAACUGCUGGGAUUACAGGUAUGAGCCACUGACCCUGGCUACAAUUUCAAGUAAUGUGUCCAAAUAGCUAUGUUAGGUGAUUUUUAUCAUUAACCAAGAAUCUAAAGCUUACUGUUUGGUGUAACACUGUGGAAGUACUUGUAAAUAAUUAUAUCUGCCAGGCCAAGCAUGGUGGCUUCUGCUUGUAAUACCAGCAUUUUAGAAGGCUGAGGCAGGAGGACCUUUUGAGGCCAGGAGUUCUAGAUAGACCUGGGCAACAAAGAGAGACCCUGUCUCUAUAAAAACCAACAAAAACAAUGCAAAAUUAUAUAUGUAACAUUUACAACCAGUAAAAUUUAAACAUCUUAAAAAAUUAAUAGUGUAGAUUCACUCAACUCUUUGAGAUUGCUAAUCUUAUGCAUUGAAAUAAAACAAUGCAUUCCAAUAAAACCUAUUAGAAUAUGUACUGUCUUCUGGGUGUGUUCUCAAAUAUACCUUAUAGGAUAUAUACAAAAUAGGAAAUAUUAAUCCUGUUUCAUAGAGGAGAAAAGUUUCAAGAGGUCAAGUAAGCUACACAUGGUCCUAAAACUGACACAAAAAAAUAAACACCAGCUUUGAGGACUCCUUUGCUGCUGUCUCUGCUGGGGCCCUGUCACUACAUCUGUGGCCUAUACAUAGGUCAGUGUUCUCCAGUAAGUGCUGAACAAACUCCAGAACAUGCUGUCAGACACUGUGGAGGCACUGAAUGAGUCAAGUGACAUUUACAUAUACAUUAUCAAUGAGUAGAAUUAGAUAUGCCAACUAUGAACAUUGAGUUUUCUGGAAGUUUCCAAUGUCUUUAUUUAGAGCUUAUUUCUUGAAUAUUUGUCAUUCUCAAGGAAAUUCCAAAUAGAAGAAAUCAGUACAGAACGAAAAUAAAAUCACCUUACAAAAAUAUUUAAAAUCUUAGGAAAAUGUAAGACACACUUGAGUCUUCUGACAUUUUGGAAAAGAAAUUGUAAAAAGAAACAAACUGAGUCCUGGGAAAAAUACUUUCAAAACACAUAUAAAGAUUAGUUAUUUUAAAUAUGCAAAGAACUAUUAAAACUCAACAAUAUAAACAAAAAAAUGGACCAAGACCUCAACAGAAACCUCAACAAAAAAGCUAUAUAGAUGCAAAUAAGCAUAUGAAAAGAUAAAUUAUAUAUCAUAUAUCAUCAGGUAAAUGCAAAUUAAAACAUCUAUGCAAUUUCACCAUACACCUGUUAGAAUGGCCUAAAUGCAGAACACUGACAACACCACAUGCUGGCAAGCACAUGGGGAAGCUGGAACUCCCAUUCACUGCUGAUAGGAGUGCAGAAUGGUACAGACAAUUUGGAAGACAGUUUGGUGGUUUCUUACAAAACUAAACAUAGCUAUACCAUCCAGCCAAUUGUAUUUCUUGGUAUUUAUUGAAAGGAGUUGAAAAAUUAUUUCCACACAAAUCCCUGCACAUGGAUGUUUACAGCAGUUUUAUUCAUAAUUAUCAAAACAUGGAUGCAUCCAAGAUAUCCUUCAAUUGGUGAAUGGAUACAUAAACUGUGGUACAUCCAGAAAAUGGAAUAUUCAGCACUUGAAAGAAAUGAGCAAUCAAGUCAUGAAAAGGGGUGGAGAAAUCUUGAAUGCAUAUUAGUAAGUAAAAGAAGACAAUUUCAAAAGGCUAUACAUUACGAUUCCAACAAUAAGACAUUCUGGAAAAAGCAAAACUAUGAAGACAGUAGGAAGAUCCUCAGUUGCCAGGGGUUAGGAGACAGAGAGAAGUGAAUAGACACAAAGAAGAGGAUAUUCAGGGCAAUUAAACAGUUCUGUAUGAUACUACAGUGGUGGGUACAUGACAUUACAUACUUUUCCCGACCAGUAGAACAUACAGUACCAAGAGUGUGAGCAUCAGCUAUAGACUGGGUGAUUAUGAUGUGUCAAUGUAGGUUCAUCAAUUGUAACAAAUGUACCACUCUGGUGGGGAUAUUAAUAAUGGAGUGUGUGUGUGUGUGUGUGUGUGUGUGUGUGUGUGUGUGUAGGUUAGGGACUUUUAUAGGAAUUCCCUUUACUUCCCAUUCAUUUUUUUGGGAUCCUAAAACUACUUUAAAAAAAAAUAUUAAUAUCGUUAUAAAACAAAACAAAAAUCAACCAAACAAAAAAAUCCCACAGCUGUGAUUACCCUAAUUACAAACAAGUGUGCAGUGGGACUUGUGUAUUUUACGGACAGUGAUCCUUGAGAAAACCUUAAGUUUCCUACUGACCUUAAAUUUUAUCAUUCUCAGCAUGUGAGGCAAAUAGUGAAUAACUACAACUAUAAAAUAAUUUUAUAUCUUUAUCUACAUGUUCAAAUUUUAUUCUAUGCUUCUUGGAUGGCAAAGAGUUGGUAAACAAAAUAAAUAGCUAAUUCCUGUUCUCUACAAUUUCUUACUUUUCCUGAGAAGAACAAAAAACAUUUAUUUUCUUAGUAAAGAUGCUAUUUCUUUCCUGGGACUGUACCUUUACAAAAUAAGAUAAAUAUGCCUGCUGCAACUAUACCACUUAGAAACAGAACCAAGAAAACAUAAUCACUUAAAAAUUUUUCGAAUAUAAAUGUCAUUACAAAUAGAAAAACAGUUGCCCAGAACCCUGUGAUCCUGUAGGAAAUCAGUUAAUAAAAAUGAAAUUUAAAUGCACAGACAUGAAAAUCCUGUACUAGUUGAUAGACUUUAUCACCAGUUUGUGUUCUUAUCAAUAGCAGCAGACAUCUGACUAUAUUCACUUUGGUUUACUCUGAGCAUAUUUUUCAAAUUUAAACCUAUUUUAACAAGACAAAUGAAGUGACAAAUGCAAUAAAUUAGAAUGCAUUAUACAAGCAAAUACAUUUUUAGCCCUGUAGUUACAGAAAAAAAAAAAUAAAAGAGAAAAACAAAACCUCACACCUAUUCUUCAUCUUUACUAAAGGAAGAUGCCAAAUACCCAGUUGGGGGGAAAGCAAUUUUGAAGCAGUAGCAGUCAUUACAAAGAAGAUGACUCUGUGAAUGUGGAGGUUACAGGUUCUUUUCUUUCCUCCUUUCUCUUUCUUUCUGCCUUCCCCCCAUCAAAACACAGCUUAGAGAACAGUAGCAGAUGUCCUCAUUCCAGGGAAGUGCCAAGCAGCCAUCUCUCUUUUGCUGUGACGGCUUCCACAGAAGGGAAGCUGUUUGCCCCGUUUCGUUCUACAUGUUUGUGAAUAUUUGAUUUUCACAGAAGACAAAAAAGGGCAAGAGCUUUGGAAUUCAAUAGAAGGUCAGAGUGGCAAUCUUUUUGCCUGUUCCAGCUUCUUUUUAUACUCUGACAUCUGGCG
Molecule: long non-coding RNA, 29287 nt
Filed under: Homo sapiens (human)
Lineage: Eukaryota; Metazoa; Chordata; Mammalia; Primates; Hominidae
Description: HSALNT0394914
Source: RNAcentral